Molecule: ribosomal RNA, 245 nt
Filed under: uncultured bacterium
Lineage: Bacteria
Description: partial small subunit ribosomal RNA
Rfam family: Bacterial small subunit ribosomal RNA
Source: RNAcentral
AGAAUCAACGCUGGCGGCGUGCCUAACACAUGCAAGUCGCACGAGAAAGUGGAGCAAUCCAUGAGUACAGUGGCGCACGGGUGAGUAACACGUGAAUCAUCUACCUCCGAGUGGGGAAUAACCUAGAGAAAUCUGGGCUAAUACCGCAUAACACUUACGAGUCAAAGCAGCAAUGCGCUUGGAGAGGAGUUCGCGGCCGAUUAGUUAGUUGGCGGGGUAAUGGCCCACCAAGACGAUGAUCGGUA